RNAcentral lists this ribosomal RNA (253 nucleotides) under uncultured bacterium. RNAcentral's name for it is "partial 16S ribosomal RNA". It matches the Rfam family "Bacterial small subunit ribosomal RNA", at positions 524 to 776 of the family's 1533-position model. The record is from RNAcentral.
GACAGAGGGGGCGAGCGUUGUCCGGAGUCACUGGGCGUAAAGCGCGCGCAGGCGGCAACCUUAGUGUCGUGUGAAAGCCCCCGGCUCAACCGGGGGAGGCCAUGGCAAACUGGGUCGCUCGAGCUGCGGAGAGGCUCCUCGAAUUGCCGGUGUAGCGGUGAAAUGCGUAGAGAUCGGCAGGAAGACGAAGGGGGAAGCCAGGGGGCUGGCCGCAGGCUGACGCUGACGCGCGAUAGCGUGGGGAGCAAACCGG